This 1698-nucleotide ribosomal RNA is filed under the name Triticum aestivum (bread wheat). RNAcentral's name for it is "partial small subunit ribosomal RNA". The record is from RNAcentral. Lineage: Eukaryota; Viridiplantae; Streptophyta; Magnoliopsida; Poales; Poaceae.
AUGAUCGGCUUGCUCGAGAAGUUGGUUGAGGGGUGGACGUCUCUUAGUGGCUCUGACAGUGACGCGGUUGCGAGGCAGUUCACUUUGUUUGUCCCAGAACGGACACAUCGGUCAACUGGUUGCCGUGGCCGGUAUGACGACAACAAUUCCCAAGAGCUUGCUGACACACAAGAUGAACUAGAUGGAGAGGCUGGUCUGAGCAAGGAUGACGACGAUGACAUGGAGAACGCGGAAGAGGAAAUCGAUGAUGAUGAACAUGCUGAAGUUCGUGCAGGUGCUAACAAGGGGAAGGAUGCACCAUAUGUCCCCCCACCGGAGAAAGUCAAAGAACAUACGGCUGCGAGAGGCGAGGGGGUGUUGCCAUCAAAGAGGGGGAGGGCUCCAGAGGAUGUUGGGCAGGGUUCUCCUGGCAAGAGGGUGAAGAAGACUUCUACACGUGGGGCCAAGCAUAUCAGCAGGGACCCACUCGAACGCCUUCAUUCAAAGUUGUCAACAGGGGGCAACUCAGAUGUCCAUGAGGCCCCAGGCGACAAAACUGCGGCUGCACCGUCAACCGUUCCCACUAACUCUGACGCAAGUGGCCGACCAUCUCCGCCUGCUGCAGAUGUGCAUGCUAGAACAACAGACAUCUGUACAUCGGGGAGUGACAAGUCGGUAUCUGCCAGGACCGCUGAAAUAUUGCCCACUCUGCUGGCAAUGAAGGAUGCUCCUGUGAGCCACGCCACCCCAUCAGGAAGUGUUAAAGUGGAUGCCCCCGAGACCAACCUAAGCAAGGAAGAUUCCCGCUCAUCUGACACUGAUUCCAAGCGCGUGUGUGGUGGCACUCAUGUGCCCACGACAGAAGUUGCUAAGGCGACAGUUCAUAAUGAUAUGCCAUCUGCAGAAGACCAAAGUACAACUGAUGCAGGUGCCAAGCCGGGCAUGAGUGAUGAAGGUGAACGUCCGGAGCAGACUAUGCCUUUACCCACAGUGGAAAUCCCCAGCUUAAAUCUACGCACUUCCAAACUCCCAAUCAACAUCGGUGUCCCCUACAGCCCCAACAAGAGGAUUGUCAACAAAUCUACGCCCGUCACCACUGACAGCACACCCCGCCCUAUUGGCAAGCCUGAUGAUUCUGCAGCGGCUAUUCCAGAAGACAUGUUUGUUGAUCUUUCACCGUUGGAUUCUGCCCCGCAAAUUGUUCGCGGUCCGGCCAGUAGGCAUGAGAGGCACCCAAUGGCCUUCACCCCACCGAGCUUCAGCCUUGGCGUCAGUCAAGAUCAACCAGUGGCUCAAGAUCCUAUGCCAGUUGCCUUUGCUUUUCCUAGAGGCGUGCCCGCAAUGAUGGCGCAGCCAAUGGUUGAGGGCAGGAAGGCUGUCAAAUUCGUAGAGCCGGUCGUCCAAGCCACCGCUGAGGAGAUUUCACCAUCACUUGAUGAAGCUUACUGCAGGAUCGAGGAGGCAGCAUUGCAGAGGAGGUCCUCACGAGGGCAGGGGCAAUCAAGUUCCAACGUGCCUGCAAAUACGGUAUCUGAGGAUACAAUUAGGAGUGCCACCCCUGGUUCUAUGAGGCAGCAGAGGGUAGUUCACCCACCUCCCGCGGAAGACUACGAGCCCGAAUUCAGGGCCAGAAAAGAACAGAACCAGCUGUACGAUAUUGUCAAGCGGUUUGGAAAUGCGAGGUCCAGCAGCAAGCACAUGAAGGAGCUAAAAGCGUAA